AGGAAGUAAAAGUCGUAACAAGGUUUCCGUAGGUGAACCUGCGGAAGGAUCAUUAUCGAUUUUCGAGGAGGAAGAUGGAAAGUCCAAGUCUGUCGCUGGCCCUUGCAAAGGGGCAUGUGCACGUCUUUGCCUUUCGUCGACCUUUCUCAUAAUACACACCUGUGCACCCAUUUGUAGGUCUUCGAAAGGGGAUGCUACGUUUUUCACAUCACAUCUAUCGUAUGUCUACAGAAUGUUAUCAAAGACUGUUGACCAGGCUUUGCCCUGGUUGGCUUGUCGAUAAAUAAAAUAAAAUACAACUUUCAGCAACGGAUCUCUUGGCUCUCGCAUCGAUGAAGAACGCAGCGAAUUGCGAUAAGUAAUGUGAAUUGCAGAUUUCCAGUGAAUCAUCGAAUCUUUGAACGCACCUUGCGCUCCUUGGUAUUCCGAGGAGCAUGCCUGUUUGAGUGUCAUCGAAUUCUCAACCAUGUCUUGAUUGAUUUCAAGCGCAUGGCUUGGAUCUUGGGGGUUGCUGGUGGCCAAUCACAGCCAUCAGCUCUCCUGAAAUGCAUUAGCAAUGGGUUGUCUGGUCUAUUGAUGUGCACGGCCUUUGACGUGAUAAUGAUCGUCGUGGCUGGAGCGUUUUUAAGACCAUGCAUGAAUAGCCUAAGCUUCUAAUAAUGAUAAAGAUAAGAUUUGGAUCCGUUGGUCUUGGAGAAACUGAGCUUUAGUUACUAGUCAGCCGUGAGGCUGGCGAACACAGAGCAAAGAUUUUCUGGACUUGCAUUUCCUUCCUUUUCAUUUCGAAACUUGACCUCAAAUCAGGUAGGACUACCCGCUGAACUUAAGCAUAUCAAUAAGCGGAGGAAAAGAAACUAACAAGGAUUCCCCUAGUAACUGCGAGUGAAGCGGGAUGAGCUCAAAUUUUGAAUCUGGCGGUCUUUGGCCGUCCGAGUUGUAAUCUAGAGAAGCGUCUUCCGCGCUGGACCGUGUACAAGUCUCCUGGAAGGGAGCGUCAUAGA
RNAcentral lists this ribosomal RNA (1001 nucleotides) under Aureoboletus mirabilis. RNAcentral's name for it is "eukaryotic LSU rRNA". The stretch from base 791 to 1001 matches the Rfam family "Eukaryotic large subunit ribosomal RNA", at positions 1 to 209 of the family's 3401-position model. Lineage: Eukaryota; Fungi; Basidiomycota; Agaricomycetes; Boletales; Boletaceae. The record is from RNAcentral.